This 523-nucleotide ribosomal RNA is filed under the name Pila pesmei. RNAcentral's name for it is "partial large subunit ribosomal RNA". It matches the Rfam family "Bacterial large subunit ribosomal RNA", at positions 1817 to 2597 of the family's 2925-position model. Lineage: Eukaryota; Metazoa; Mollusca; Gastropoda; Architaenioglossa; Ampullariidae. The record is from RNAcentral.
GUCUCUUUGUUUUUAUUUUAUAAAGAGUCUAACCUGCCCAGUGAUAUAUAUUUUAACGGCCGCGGUACUCUGACCGUGCAAAGGUAGCAUAAUCAUUUGCCUUAUAAUUGAAGGCUUGUAUGAAUGGUUUGACGAGAAUUAGCCUGUCUCUUAUAAAUUAAAAUGAAAUUGACUUUUAAGUGUAAAGGCUUAAAUUUUACUAAUAGACAAGAAGACCCUAUUGAGCUUUAAAGAUCUAUAAUAACAUACGAUGUAUUAGGAUAAGAUUAUAAGUUAUUAAAGUUUUUAGUUGGGGCGACUAUUGGAACAAAUGAAACUUCCAGAGUUUUAUAAUAUUUAAUAUUAGCUUAUUCAAAUUGAUCCAAAAUGUUUUGAUUAAUAGAAUAAGUUACCAUAGGGAUAACAGCAUAAUCUAUCUUAAGAGUUCUAAUCGAAAGAAAGGUUUGUGACCUCGAUGUUGGAUUAAAAUAUCCUAAGGGUGUAGAAGUUCUUAAGGGUUGGUCUGUUCGACCAUUAAAAUUUU